UACGUAGGGGGCUAGCGUUAUCCGGAAUUACUGGGCGUAAAGGGUGCGUAGGUGGUUUCUUAAGUCAGAGGUGAAAGGCUACGGCUCAACCGUAGUAAGCCUUUGAAACUGAGAAACUUGAGUGCAGGAGAGGAGAGUAGAAUUCCUAGUGUAGCGGUGAAAUGCGUAGAUAUUAGGAGGAGUACCAGUUGCGAAGGCGGCUCUCUGGACUGUAACUGACACUGAGGCACGAAAGCGUGGGGAGCAAACAGGAUUAGAUACCCUGGUAGUCCCUGA
RNAcentral lists this ribosomal RNA (276 nucleotides) under uncultured prokaryote. RNAcentral describes it as "partial 16S ribosomal RNA". It matches the Rfam family "Bacterial small subunit ribosomal RNA", at positions 524 to 800 of the family's 1533-position model. The record is from RNAcentral.